This 511-nucleotide ribosomal RNA is filed under the name uncultured bacterium. Its description in RNAcentral is "bacterial SSU rRNA". It matches the Rfam family "Bacterial small subunit ribosomal RNA", at positions 28 to 526 of the family's 1533-position model. The record is from RNAcentral.
GACGAACGCUGGCGGCGUGCCUAAUACAUGCAAGUCGAGCGGACUUUACCCUUCGGGGUAAGGUUAGCGGCGGACGGGUGAGUAACACGUAGGUAACCUGCCUGUAAGACCGGGAUAACAUUCGGAAACGAAUGCUAAUACCGGAUAUGCGGUUUGCUCGCAUGAGCGAACCGGGAAAGACGGUGCAAGCUGUCACUUACAGAUGGACCUGCGGCGCAUUAGCUAGUUGGUGGGGUAACGGCUCACCAAGGCGACGAUGCGUAGCCGACCUGAGAGGGUGAUCGGCCACACUGGGACUGAGACACGGCCCAGACUCCUACGGGAGGCAGCAGUAGGGAAUCUUCCGCAAUGGACGAAAGUCUGACGGAGCAACGCCGCGUGAGUGAUGAAGGUUCUCGGAUCGUAAAGCUCUGUUGCCAGGGAAGAACGAGUGAGAGAGUAACUGCCCCUGCUAUGACGGUACCUGAGAAGAAAGCCCCGGCUAACUACGUGCCAGCAGCCGCCGUAAGAC